Non-coding RNA from Heterocephalus glaber (naked mole-rat), 4457 nucleotides. The record is from RefSeq and is a predicted model, not a curated record. Lineage: Eukaryota; Metazoa; Chordata; Mammalia; Rodentia; Bathyergidae.
AGGCAGCAGCUCCAGAAGUGAUUCUUGAGGAAGUGGGGGUCAGGGAGGUGGCCCCUGGGGCUGAGAGAAGCUCCUCUGUCCAUAGGGGAUGUCAGGAUUCCCAGCAGCCUGGCUGAGGACAGCCCUCUGCUGUCCCCAGAGAUCACUGGGUCUGGAAGUGGGGGAGUGGAAGGAAAUACAGAGCCCCAAGGCAGUGAGGAUGGGAAUGGCCCCUCGACACCAAAUGUAGAGGGUGUCACCUAUGCUGCCCACCCUUCUUUUCAGAACUGGGGAAUGAACCCAAGGCCUUCUCAUUGAGCUACAUCCCCAGCCCUUUUAUAUUUUUUAUUUUGAGAUGGAGUCUUGUUACAUGCCCCAGACUAGGCUUCAACUUGUGAUCCUCCUGCCUCAGCCUCCCAGAGUGCUAGGAUUACAGGCAUGCACCCCCAUACCCAACCACCUGUCCCUCUUGUCCCCCAGAACUAGGCAUCCUGCACUGGCUCCCCAAAAGUGCUGAGGGGGCACCUCCUAUCCACAGUCCAGGAAGAGCUGGGAGGUCUGACAGGCCAGGUCUCCAACUGAGGCCCAAAAGGGAGAGAGAGAACUGGAGACAGAGACAGAGACAGACAGACAGACACAAACAUGGAGGGCAGAGGGUUAGGAAGUGGGGAAGAGAGGCAGGGAGGAGGAUCCCAGGAGCCCUGCACCUCUCUUCUUGGAAAGGAAGGGCCACCAGGGGCUGAGAGACCGUGGGGCUACUUCUGGAGUCACAGAAAGGGUGAGGUGCUCGGAAGCACCCUAGCUUCGAGGUCAGAGUCCCCUUCCAAAGUCCAGGCAGUGACACACUGUGCUCGUGAUCUGGAGACAAGGUCUCUGGGAACCAUGUAGGGUUCCUGGAGGUGGCUAAGAGGGGCCAGGGCCACCCUACAGUGAUCCCGGAACAAGGACGGGAGAGGGGCAGAGCACAGGCCCCCCCAUCCCGGAAGUCCUGACACGGAAGUAACACAGGUCUGGGCUGCUCUCCAACUCCACCUCGGCGUCCCUGCACAGCCACCUCGGGCAACCUCGCAGCCCAUCUGCACUGUUCUGAGCCUCUGUGUCCCACACUCAGGGUCCCUGGAACCAUGGCAGGGGGUCGUCUGGGGGACCUGCGCUUCCGGCCCGGCUCUCACUGGGCCUUCGGAUCCUGCAGGGCAGCCAGGAGCAGACAGGAACUUUCCAGGGGCUCCUCAGAUGUCAAACACAGACAGCAUAGUGUGACCUCACCAGCUGGCCAAGCAGUCACCCAGGGUGCAUUGUGACAUGGAAACAGAAACCGUGUCAGGCACUGUAGAGGUCAGGAUGGGACAGGUAGCACCUGAUGAGCUGCAGGACAGGGACCGCGGCAGGGUGGGGCGUCGUGCUUUUGCUCUGCUUUGCUGCUUCUUCUUCUUUUCUUUUUUCUUUCUUUUUUUUUUUUUUUAAUAGUGCUGGGGCUUGAACUCAAGGCCUUCACAUUCAGCUACAUCCCCAGCUCUUUUUUAUUUUGAGUCAGGGUUUCGCUAAGUCACUGAGUUGCCCAGGCUGGGGUCUGACUUUUGGUCCUCCUGCCUCAGCCUCCCAGAGCGCUAGGAUUGCAGGCUUGCGCCACCUUUCCCAGCUUUCCUGAUAAUGCUGACAUCAAGGACACCAGUAGUGACAGGAAGUUCAAUGAACUCACCUAUUGCACAACUAUUAAACAAAGCUCACAGGCAGAUACGAAGCCUGGAGAGGCAAGGAUCAGUCCUCGGCUCAAGUGUGUGAACCCCACGUUGCCCCCACCUCCAGUUGGAGAAGGGUUUGACCAAGCAACAGGACGUUUGAUGAACUGCACAGGAAACAUUUGUAAACACAACUAUAAAAAUAAGGAACUCAUCAUCACAGAGGUUAUGUGACAGCACAGUGUGAAGGUCCAGGGUUCCAGCCCCAGGACCAGAAGAAAAAUUAAAAGUGUGAAACGCUUAAAACUAGCAAGAGAGAGAAAAGUACAAACCGGGAGGAUGAACCUCAGGGAUGAACCACAGUAACUUGGAACCAUGGCAAAGGAAGGCAAACGAAGAUCGUCCCUCAGUAUCUGUUCUCUUUUCCCCGCCCAUCACCACAGCCACAUUAGAUCUUAUCUACACAGUCCUCAGAACAAAGGCUGCAUCUCCAAACCUCCUUCAUAAUAUUUAUGACCUUAGAAUUACACUCUGGCCAGUGGGAUGUAAACUCGAGUGAUGCAUGUGGAGAGGGACUGUCCUUCAAAUUCAUCCUUACUGCUGUCUGGAAUUUGGAUGUGAUGGCUUUGCUCCAGCAGCCAUCUUACACCAUGCAGUACAAGAUGUAUGGCUAAAGAUGGUGGAGUAGCAAGAUUCUGUGUAAAGGAGCCUGGUCUUUGAUAUCAAGGGCACUGUGUGAACCCUGCAUGGCCACUCUUGGUCUCUCUUAUGUAAAAGAGAAAUAUAUUUCUGUUUAUGGUCUUUAAGCCAGUUUGUCUGUUUGUUUGUUUGUUUUGGUCUCAAUUAGCUGAACAAAAUCUUAACCAAUAAACAGAAGAGAUGAUAAUUCCUUUGGUUAGCAGGGGAGGGGCAAGGACUGCAAGAGAAGCAGGGGUUCCCUGAACUGAUAGAACCCAUAGCAGGUGCAAGAUUGAUUCCUGCAAGAACAGAAGUGGCGAAAGGAGAGUCCAAGAACCAAGGGCAUCCCGCAGGGAGAACCCUGCAGGGCAGGACACUGAGGACGUCAGGAGAUAACAACAACACAUUGUAUAGGGAAAGGUGUCCUGGUGAUGCAGGCUCAGCCCCUGAGUGACUAAAGGCUCGGGAGAAACGCAAGCUAAGAAAAGUCUGCUACUGGAAAUUCUGCCUUUAUCAAGGCUGCAGCCUUAUCCACCUGGUGUCCUGGUGACUCCCAUCCCACAGCACCUCCUGCCGUCACACACCGGCUGUGACUCAAGGCCACCUGGGCCAGUAUUUCUCCUCCUGUGGCCCCAGCCCACCCUCAUGGGACAGCCCUGAGAUCCCACCCAAAGCAAGCGGACCAGCCCCUCUGUGCAGCCCUGUGACGUGACAAAUCCAAUCCAUCACUCAGCAUGUGGGGAAACUGAGCCCGAAACAGACUGUGGCUCUCCAGAGGUCUCACUGACAGCUGGCAGCAGCCCGGGGCAAGUCCAUGGCUCCCUGUGGAUCUCCUGGCACCUGCACCUCUUAGGGCAGGGUGUGCUGCAAGUAUCAAAGCCCUCGGAGGUGAGGAUAGCAGCUUCACCAUCUCCCCCAUUCUCAGAAUCCUGGGACAAACUGCAGGCCUAGGACACACGUGUGGCCCUGGGCCACCUCUCAGAGGUGGGGCAGCCGACCGGGGCUCCCCAAAGAUGGACCCCAGGAUGCCCCUCUGCAGGGAACACCCUGCCCUUGGGGCCUCCACUGUGCAGGCCUGAGUGCUCCUGGGGCCACCUCCUUCCUGGCCCCAAGUCUCAAGCAUCUUCAGAACCCCACUGCCCUUUCCUCCCCUGCUUGCUGCUCCCCACAGCCUCUGGGAAAGGCAUUAAGAGUCUCGCAGAGACACCUCACGGAUACCAGCCCCACCGAUGCCAGCAGCUGCCCUCCUCCCAGCUCUGGCCUCCAGGCCCUGCAGACAUCUGGGCACCAUUCCCAUUGGCUAAAGCCACUAACCCCAGCCCAGCUGAAUAUACAGCCUGCUCCCUGCAGGAUUCCUGCUCACCCUGGUGCCCUGUCCUUGACUCUAUCAGGUCCGGCCUCGACCAGCUGACCUGUCCCUGAGCCCCUCCUGUCCUUUCACUUGGCGAGCUAUCAUUAGCUCGUGAUAACCCUAGGCAAUGGGCGACUCCACAGGAACUCACCAUCACAGAGGUUAUGUGACAGGCCUGCCGGCUACUGCCUGUCUUGGACAGUGACAGAGAGGCAAGGCCCUAUCAUUAGCAGGGCCUUAAGGCCCGAAAUCCCAUAGCUUCUGCCUGGGACAGGCCUCUGCAUGCCCUUUCACCGUUUGUUUGCACCUUGCUAAUAACCCAUAAUUACUACCGGGGGGGGGAGGGGCGGGGGGGACUUCCAGAUCCUUUCCACCGGCCCAUUGCCACCCACAGCCCUCAGGCCUUAGGCUUGCUCUUUAGUAGGUGACACGGUCUGCCUGGCUCGGAGCCCUUGAGGAGGGGUCCAGGACGCGGAAGGGUAGAUCCACGGGACCUCAGUGUCAAGGAUGGAGCUUGGGGUGCCUGAAAAGAAGAGCGGGGAGAGGAGACCUGGGAAGUGAUGGCAAAAGAUUCAUCUCCAACACCCCCUACCCCACCCAGAUUCAGAUCCGAGCGGCUGCCUCUGGCGACACCUGGCGGCCGGCCGCCGCCAGCGUGAGCAGAGCGAACCCGGUGCGGGUGUCCGCGCCUGCAUGUGCCAGGCCUGCGGGGAUUGGUUCCCGCGCGGCAGGAGGGUUAGGGAUCCUCCGGCUUGGAGAGCUAGAAACCG